GCCGUCUUAGCUCAGCUGGCAGAGCACUUGACUUGUAAUCAUGAGGUCUCCGGUUCGAUUCCGGAAGACGGCU
This 73-nucleotide transfer RNA is filed under the name Treponema sp. RNAcentral describes it as "tRNA-Thr". It matches the Rfam family "tRNA". Rfam says of the family: Transfer RNA (tRNA) molecules are approximately 80 nucleotides in length. Their secondary structure includes four short double-helical elements and three loops (D, anti-codon, and T loops). Further hydrogen bonds mediate the characteristic L-shaped molecular structure. tRNAs have two regions of fundamental functional importance: the anti-codon, which is responsible for specific mRNA codon recognition, and the 3' end, to which the tRNAs corresponding amino acid is attached (by aminoacyl-tRNA synthetases). tRNAs cope with the degeneracy of the genetic code in two manners: having more than one tRNA (with a specific anti-codon) for a particular amino acid; and 'wobble' base-pairing, i.e. permitting non-standard base-pairing at the 3rd anti-codon position. RNAcentral also lists the same sequence under 1 other name. The record is from RNAcentral. Lineage: Bacteria; Pseudomonadati; Spirochaetota; Spirochaetia; Treponematales; Treponemataceae.